This 27-nucleotide non-coding RNA is filed under the name Rattus norvegicus (Norway rat). Lineage: Eukaryota; Metazoa; Chordata; Mammalia; Rodentia; Muridae. The record is from RNAcentral.
UACUUGCUCAAGCAUUUCAGGGUGGGU